RNAcentral lists this unclassified non-coding RNA (167 nucleotides) under uncultured Ascomycota. RNAcentral describes it as "sequence contains ITS1". Lineage: Eukaryota; Fungi; Ascomycota. The record is from RNAcentral.
CAGAGUUGCAAAACUCCCAACCCAUUGUGAAUCCUACCUGUUUAGUUGCUUCGGCAGGCGGCCCCAGGGCGGGGUAUUUAGCCUGUUUUUACAGGCGUCUGCCGGAGGAUUUUAAAAACUCUUUAAUGCUUUUAGUGGCUCUCUGAGUUAAAAGACAAAAUAAGUCA